GCCUGUGUAGCUCAGUGGUAGAGCACUUCCUUGGUAAGGAAGAGGUCCCGAGUUCAACUCUCGGCGCCGGCU
RNAcentral lists this transfer RNA (72 nucleotides) under Dysgonamonadaceae bacterium. RNAcentral describes it as "tRNA-Thr". It matches the Rfam family "tRNA". From Rfam's summary of the family: Transfer RNA (tRNA) molecules are approximately 80 nucleotides in length. Their secondary structure includes four short double-helical elements and three loops (D, anti-codon, and T loops). Further hydrogen bonds mediate the characteristic L-shaped molecular structure. tRNAs have two regions of fundamental functional importance: the anti-codon, which is responsible for specific mRNA codon recognition, and the 3' end, to which the tRNAs corresponding amino acid is attached (by aminoacyl-tRNA synthetases). tRNAs cope with the degeneracy of the genetic code in two manners: having more than one tRNA (with a specific anti-codon) for a particular amino acid; and 'wobble' base-pairing, i.e. permitting non-standard base-pairing at the 3rd anti-codon position. The record is from RNAcentral. Lineage: Bacteria; Pseudomonadati; Bacteroidota; Bacteroidia; Bacteroidales; Dysgonomonadaceae.